AUGAGCUUUUUCCAUACGCGUUCGAGAACGUUGGAAAUUAUUUGGAGGAGCACUACGACAAUCCAGCAACUCAAAUAAUUGUUGAAGAUUUGAGGCACAUUGCAGACCAACAAGCGGAAAAUGAUGUGGCAGUUGUGCGGAUCCGCGAACCAAGAAAGGAAUGCAUUGAGGAUGUAACAAAAAAUGUCAGACACUGGAUAAAAAGAGACAAAAAACUGACACCAAUGAAAGCUCUCCAGGGGCUCAUUUGGGAAGAGGCUUACCAGCGCGGAGAUGUGAAAGGACAUGUAUAUCCGGACGUUUUACCAGUUUUGAAAAUUGUUGAAAAUAGAAAAAUCCCGAUCUACAUCUACUCAUCGGGAUCGGUCCACGCUCAAAAGCUCUUGUUUGCCAAUUCAAUUGAAGGAGAUAUGACCAAAAUUCUCUAUGGCUACUUUGACACAAAUAUCGGUCUGAAGGGAGAAAGCAAUUCAUACACGAAAAUCAGCGAGCGAAUUAAAAUUCCUCCCAGUGAAAUACUAUUCCUGACUGAUGUUGAAGCAGAAGCGGCUGCUGCCAAGAAAGCUGGGUUACAGACAAAGUUAGUAGUUCGUCCUGGAAAUGCGGGUCUAACACAAGAAGCUAUAAACGCCUACGGAACCAUUGAAAGUUUGGAAGAAAUUUUGUAA
Molecule: unclassified non-coding RNA, 668 nt
Filed under: Caenorhabditis elegans
Lineage: Eukaryota; Metazoa; Nematoda; Chromadorea; Rhabditida; Rhabditidae
Description: Non-coding transcript of protein-coding gene F58H1.3b
Source: RNAcentral